GUUAACCCAGUAAAAAAGAAGCGUACGAUCCUUUGUUAAGAUGGCGACCUAGUUAGUUAAGAACAUGAAAACGUGUUGACGUAGACUCCUUAUAUCAUAAAAAGAUAAAAGCAGACGAGAUUUGUCGGAGUUUAUUAGCAACUCUCGUCAUGAAGCGGAUCAGAUUCUUCUCGACGACAGCAAGUGUACUAACACGGACCUAUUGAGUGUUUAUUGCUGUAAACGAUCCUAAUGUAUCAUACAGACACCGCAAGAAGGAGCUGUUCCUUCGUCCAUAAAAGUUAACCCAGUAAAAAAGAAGCGUACGAUCCUUGGUUAAGAUGGCCACCUAGUUAGUUAAGAACAUAAAAACGUGUUGAUGUAAACUCCUUAUAUCUUAAAAAGAUAAAAGCAGACGAGAUAUGUCGGAGCUUAUAAGCAACUCUCGUCAUGAAGCGGAUCAGAUUCUUCUCCACGACAGCAAGUGU
This is a long non-coding RNA of Bolinopsis microptera, 467 nucleotides long. RefSeq lists it as uncharacterized. The transcript is spliced from 5 exons. NCBI's taxonomy places the organism in Eukaryota, Metazoa, Ctenophora, Tentaculata, Lobata, Bolinopsidae. The record is from RefSeq and is a predicted model, not a curated record.